Homo sapiens (human) is the source of this 1736-nucleotide long non-coding RNA. Ensembl annotates it as WDR11 divergent transcript. Its record names the gene WDR11-DT. NCBI's taxonomy places the organism in Eukaryota, Metazoa, Chordata, Mammalia, Primates, Hominidae. The record is from Ensembl.
GUGGAGAGGAUAAGGAGGGCCUCGCUUGGCUUCCUGCUGCUCCCCUGAUUAGAAGCCCUUCUAAGGGGAUCAAGGCUGUGACUGGCUAUGAGAAGAGAAAACUAAUGCUCCAUUUCCCACUCAGUCCCUGGGCUGCUGAACUCUUCCCCACCACUUGAGGAGGAGCUACGCUGGGAAGAGAUGAGCUGAUGCCCAGCUCAGCUGCUCUUCUGAGUCUUCAAUUUCCAGACCAACCUCCCUUAAGGUGACUGACAGUGGGGACCUCAACCUCACCUACAGGGAUGUGGACUGAUCCCAUGGUCUCAGUGAGAGACCCAGGCAAUAUUUCUACAUGAAGCAUGUUGGAUUUCUGAAUUAUCCAGCCUCAAAUGACACCGGGAUGGGACAGUGUUAACCCAGAUAAGAAAACUGAGGCUCUGAGAAGUUGAGGGACUUGGUCAAGGCCACAUGUCAGUGAGUGCCAGAAGUUUCUGCUACUCCUACAAAAUCAGAAGUUCCCCAAAUCCAAACCAUCUCGACCUACCCCUGUGACCCGCCAAAAGAAGCUGGCCUUCCCCAUCCUCCUGUCUCCGCAGUGCCAUUUGCCUUUCAGUCUCCUAAAAAGAAGCACUUACUCUCUUCCCCAAAUCGCAGAGGGAAGCUUCAAAUACACUUCUAAUCAUCCUCAGUACCCAGCAGUAUAUAGGAAGUUAUUGUCCCAAAGUUGUGUGUCAUGCCCGAAGUGUCUGGGAUCCCCGAGUGCCUGUGGUGCCCAAGAGCUAUGAAUCUGCUAUCAUCAACACAGAGGGUACCUUCUGAAUGGGCUAUGUCUACAGUGAUGCUGCAAAUGGAAGCUAACCCUAGGAUGACUGGCCUCUGACACUUGAGCCAUCCCAUCAUCUGUCAUGGGUUGACCCAUCCAUCCCCUCAAUGAGCCUGACCUUCAGGACCACUGACAGAGGAGCAGUCAAUAGAAAUUAAUUGUUAAAUACCCAGAAAAUCUGAAAUGGUAUUUAAUAUGCAGUUCAUCAAGAGCAAAAGUUCCUUAAAUCUUCAUCUAGAAAAGUUAUUUAUAAGGGAUGAAUAUGUUGUAUGAAUAUGUUGUAUGCAAAUAUUAUAUUCAAGGGCAAGACCAUGAAAACAGUUUAAGAAUCCGACAGGGAAUUAGAUAAAGACAUCGGAGUGCACUUGUCAAAAUACAGCUAUCAAGAAUGAUGAUGUUGAAAAAUAGUUUAGCAAUAUAAUUGUCUAGAACCACAGGGAGUCUGAGAUUUUACCCAACUUGUGAGUUAACAACUCUGCUAUAGCUUCAUGAAAGAAGACACAAGACUCCUGGGUCAGGAACAAAGGUCUCUAAUACUCACAGCAAUAUCAGGAGCCAGAAUUUCAGGAUCCUUUUUCCUGCCAGUUUCUCAAGUCCUAAUUACCACCGAGUUACAGGAAAGGGCCAGGUAACACUAGCACUGCCAUCAGUGGCUGUAUUACAGAACAGGAACUCCAAGCUUAGGAAACCCAAAUCUUUUAUAGUUAACAAUGAACACAUCUGCCAUUGUUCUGAAGGGAGACGCUACCCCAAUCUUCCACACCUGUUCACUAUAUAAAUAUCUGUGAAAAGAUAGACAGAAAAAUAGGUGGAGAAUGCCUCUGCUCACAAGAUGUGCAGAAACGUGAGAGGCUCAUGGAGAACUGUUUCCCUACAAUGACAAAAUGCUGACGAUAUAUUGUUAUGUAAAAUAAAGCAGGCAUUUUUCACCUCA